RNAcentral lists this transfer RNA (74 nucleotides) under Xanthomonas phage XbC2. Its description in RNAcentral is "tRNA-Ala". It matches the Rfam family "tRNA". From Rfam's summary of the family: Transfer RNA (tRNA) molecules are approximately 80 nucleotides in length. Their secondary structure includes four short double-helical elements and three loops (D, anti-codon, and T loops). The record is from RNAcentral. RNAcentral also lists the same sequence under 1 other name. Lineage: Duplodnaviria; Heunggongvirae; Uroviricota; Caudoviricetes.
GGGGCUAUAGCUCAGUUGGUAGAGCAACUGCCUUGCACGUAGUAGGUCUGCGGUUCAAAUCCGCAUAGCUCCAC